AUGAACGCUGGCGGCGUGCCUAACACAUGCAAGUCGAGCGGAGAUAGAGGAAGUAGCAAUACGGAAUUUGUCUUAGCGGCGGACGGGUGAGUAACACGUGAGUAACCUGCCUUAUACUGGGGAAUAACACCGUGAAAACGGUGCUAAUACCGCAUAAUGUUGUCUUAUGGCAUCAUAGGACAACCAAAGGAGCAAUCCGGUAAAAGAUGGACUCGCGUCCGAUUAGCUAGUUGGUGAGGUAAUGGCCCACCAAGGCGACGAUCGGUAGCCGAACUGAGAGGUUGAUCGGCCACAUUGGGACUGAGACACGGCCCAGACUCCUACGGGAGGCAGCAGUGGGGAAUAUUGGGCAAUGGGCGAAAGCCUGACCCAGCAACGCCGCGUGAAGGAAGAAGGCCUUCGGGUUGUAAACUUCUUUGAUCAGGGACGAAAAAAAUGACGGUACCUGAAAAACAAGCCACGGCUAACUACGU
This 473-nucleotide ribosomal RNA is filed under the name uncultured bacterium. Its description in RNAcentral is "bacterial SSU rRNA". It matches the Rfam family "Bacterial small subunit ribosomal RNA", at positions 29 to 506 of the family's 1533-position model. The record is from RNAcentral.